This 468-nucleotide ribosomal RNA is filed under the name uncultured bacterium. Its description in RNAcentral is "partial 16S ribosomal RNA". It matches the Rfam family "Bacterial small subunit ribosomal RNA", at positions 28 to 507 of the family's 1533-position model. The record is from RNAcentral.
GACGAACGCUGGCGGCGUGCUUAACACAUGCAAGUCGAACGGAAAGGCCCUGCUUUUGUGGGGUGCUCGAGUGGCGAACGGGUGAGUAACACGUGAGUAACCUGCCCUUGACUUUGGGAUAACUUCAGGAAACUGGGGCUACUACCGGAUAGGAGCUCCUGCUGCAUGGUGGGGGUUGGAAAGUUUCGGCGGUUGGGGAUGGACUCGCGGCUUAUCAGCUUGUUGGUGGGGUAGUGGCUUACCAAGGCGUUGACGGGUAGCCGGCCUGAGAGGGUGACCGGCCACAUUGGGACUUAGAUACGGCCGAGACUCCUACGGGAGGCAGCAGUGGGGAAGAUUGCACAAUGGGCGGAAGGUUGAUGAAGCAACGCCGCGUGCUGGAUGACGGCCUUCGUGGGGUAAACCGCUUUCGCCUGUGACGAAGCGUGAGUGACGGUAAUGGGUAAAGAAGCACCGGCUAACUACGUG